This 352-nucleotide unclassified non-coding RNA is filed under the name Homarus americanus (American lobster). Its description in RNAcentral is "nADH-ubiquinone oxidoreductase chain 3". Lineage: Eukaryota; Metazoa; Arthropoda; Malacostraca; Decapoda; Nephropidae. The record is from RNAcentral.
AUUUUUAUUAUAUUUAUUGUAGUUUCAACAACUUUUGUAAUUAGAUCUGUAGUUAUAAUCCUUGCCUCGAUUUUGUCAAAAAAACUUAUUACAGAUCGAGAAAAAAAUUCCCCAUUUGAGUGUGGAUUUGAUCCUAAAGGCUCAGCUCGACUUCCUUUUUCUUUACGAUUCUUUUUAAUUGCAGUUAUUUUCUUGAUUUUUGAUGUAGAAAUUACUCUUUUACUUCCCCUUGCCUCAAUUAUUCAUUUAACAAACAUAUUUUCUUGAGCCCUUACUGGGGUUUUAUUUUUAUUAAUUCUGCUUUUUGGACUUUACUAUGAAUGACACCAAGGCGCCUUAGAAUGAUCUUAUU